AUUACAUACAAUUUUACCGUACACUUUGACAGUUUAUACAUUUAAAUAGACUAAAGAAACUAUAAUAUCAAAUUCUAAAGUUCACAACUGAAAACUAUAUUAUCUAAAAAACUUGGGGAGCGUUCCUUCAUAAAUAGUAACAAAAACAAAUUAAUUUGGUGUCUCUCAGUCUCUACGGCACACCGCUUACUGCAAAGCGUUCUCAAAUUUUCCUUUCAAGGUAUUUGAGCCUUCGUUUUCUUCUUUUGAAUUUAAUUCUGAAUUCGCAGUAAUUUUCUAUUUUAAAUUUUACGAUAGAUCUAUCUGCUCUUGCACCAUAGUUUUGUGACCUGAUGUGUUGAUUGAUUUUUUAAUUUAUUCCAGUUAUUGAAAGAAAAUUUUAGGGGAGUGUUGAUAAUCUUUCAUUGAUAUUGGAUCUGUUUAAUCAUGUAUCAACUCUCUCAAGAAGUAUUUUGUUACAUUCCAGAAUUCUAUGCUCAAGUCUCCUUGCGAUCUGUUGGCUUCCCCCUAAAUCUUGUGUUUUGGUCCUGCAUAUAAUUUGUUGUUAAGAGAGUUCCCCGUUUUGAUAAUUAUUUGGCUUAUAUUUAUUGGAUUGAGAAUUUAUGUGAUUCACUGUCUGAGUUUCUUUGUUUUUAGACGAAUCGGAUAAAUUCUUCUGUGGAGGUUUCUAAAUGUUGUUUAUUAUAUCCUAAUUCCAAUGAUUUUGGCUCUGUAUCUGUCNACUUACCCUG
Molecule: long non-coding RNA, 731 nt
Filed under: Olea europaea subsp. europaea
Lineage: Eukaryota; Viridiplantae; Streptophyta; Magnoliopsida; Lamiales; Oleaceae
Source: RNAcentral